CCUACGGGAGGCAGCAGUGGGGGAUAUUGCACAAUGGGGGAAACCCUGAUGCAGCGACGCCGCGUGGGUGAAGACGCGCCUCGGCGCGUAAAGCCCUGUCAGCAGGGAAGAAAAUGACGGUACCUGAAGAAGAAGCCCCGGCUAAAUACGUGCCAGCAGCCGCGGUAAUACGUAGGGGGCAAGCGUUAUCCGGAUUUACUGGGUGUAAAGGGGGCGCAGACGGCGAUGCAAGCCAGGAGUGAAAGCCCGGGGCCCAACCCCGGGACUGCUCUUGGAACUGCGUGGCUAGAGUGCAGGAGGGGCAGGCGGAAUUCCUGGUGUAGCGGUGAAAUGCGUAGAUAUCAGGAGGAACACCGGUGGCGAAGGCAGCCUGCUGGACUGCAACUGACGUUGAGGCCCGAAAGCGUGGGGAGCAAACAGGAUUAGAUACCCUUGUAGUC
Molecule: ribosomal RNA, 440 nt
Filed under: uncultured bacterium
Lineage: Bacteria
Description: partial 16S ribosomal RNA
Rfam family: Bacterial small subunit ribosomal RNA
Source: RNAcentral